CAGACAGCAUCACCUUGGCCGGGGUGUCGUCAUUGGCUGCCUAUUAGAAAAACUACAGCACAAUGCAUACCACCCCUGCUGACUGUAAACAUAGGGGAUAUGUGUUCACUUAGCAUGGACUUCUGGGAGGGGCCAAGGAAGGGCGGUCUGCAGUUUUAUUGAAUAGAGCAGUGUGCAUUAGGCGGUCUGCCUGCCUGGCUGCUUGCUCUCUUGCUGUGUUGCUUAAAGGGACCUCUGCUUCCUUUCUGACGGCGGCGGGCUCAACGUCCUCCUCCUUGGGAAGAAGCUGCUGCCUGAGAGAUAAUCAAUAACAGAUUUCAAGAUCAUCCAAUUCAACCCACAAGAGUUGGUGUUCAAAGACUCAGAAGUAGGCAUCUGACUGCUUCCCUAUCCAGAUACUAUCUGGGCUCCCUAAACUUGCAACCUCACUAUGGAUGAUUUUGAGCGUCGCAGGGAACUGAGGAGGCAAAAGAGGGAAGAGAUGCGGCUGGAAGCAGAGAGAAUCGCCUAUCAGAGGAAUGAUGAUGACGAAGAAGAGGCCGCCAGGGAACGGCGCCGCCGAGCCCGGCAGGAAAGGCUGCGUCAGAAGCAGGAGGAAGAGUCCUUGGGACAGGUGACAGACCAGGUGGAAGCCCAUGCCCAGAACAGUGUCCCUGAUGAAGAGUCUAAGCCAGCCACCACGAACACUCAGGUAGAAGGUGAUGAGGAGGCUGCCUUACUGGAGCGCCUGGCUAGGCGAGAAGAGAGACGUCAAAAACGCCUCCAGGAAGCCCUCGAGCGUCAGAAGGAGCUUGAUCCAACUAUCACAGAUGCCAGUCUGUCUGUCCCAAGCAGAAGAAUGCAAAAUGACACGGCAGAAAAUGAAACAGCAGAGAAGGAAGAAAAAAGAGAGAGUCGCCCAGGACGAUAUGAGGUGGAGGAAACAGAAGUAGUCACCAAGUCCUACCAGAAGAACAGCUAUCAGGAUGCUGAAGACAAAAAGAAAGAAGAACAGGAGGAGGAGGAAGAGAAGCUGAAGGGAGGGAGCCUUGGCGAAAAUCAGAUCAAAGAUGAGAAGAUUAAAAAGGACAAAGAACCCAAAGAAGAAGUCAAGAGCUUCUUGGAUCGAAAGAAAGGAUUUACUGAAGUGAAAGCGCAGAAUGGAGAAUUCAUGACUCACAAACUUAAACAAACUGAGAAUGCUUUCAGCCCCAGCCGCCCAGGAGGCCGGGCCAGUGGGGACAAGGAAGCUGAAGGUACCCCACAAGUGGAAGCUGGCAAGAGGCUGGAGGAGCUGCGCCGGCGCCGCGGGGAGACUGAGAGCGAAGAGUUUGAAAAACUCAAACAAAAACAACAGGAGGCAGCCUUGGAGCUGGAAGAGCUGAAGAAAAAGAGGGAAGAGAGAAGGAAGGUCCUGGAGGAAGAGGAGCAGAAAAGGAAGCAGGAGGAAGCUGAUCGCAAAGCUAGAGAGGAGGAAGAGAAGAGGAGGCUAAAGGAAGAGAUUGAAAAGAGAAGGGCAGAAGCUGCUGAGAAACGCCAGAAGAUGCCAGAAGAUGGCUUGUCCGAGGACAAGAAGCCAUUCAAGUGUUUCACUCCUAAAGGCUCUUCUCUCAAGAUAGAGGAACGAGCAGAAUUUUUGAAUAAGUCUGUGCAGAAAAGUGGUGUCAAAUCUACUCAUCAAGCAGCAGUAGUCUCCAAGAUUGACAGCAGGCUGGAGCAGUAUACCAACGCAAUUGAGGGAACAAAAGCUUCAAAACCUACUAAGCCUGCAGCAUCGGAUCUUCCUGUUCCUGCUGAAGGUGUCCGCAAUAUCAAGAGCAUGUGGGAAAGAGGGAAUGUGUUUUCAUCCCCCUCGGCCUCGGGAACACCAAAUAAGGAAACCGCUGGUCUGAAGGUGGGAGUUUCCAGCCGGAUCAAUGAAUGGCUAACUAAAUCACCAGAUGGCAACAAGUCCCCUGCUCCAAAGCCUUCUAAUGAUGUCUUUCUCAGCUGGCUUCUCUUCUUCACUCUUUCGUCUCUGAUUGACUGGAAACCUGCCUUUCCUGCCUUCAUUUCUCCCUCUUCUCCCAGAGUGGGUCUUUCUCUAACAUAUAGGCUGGUCAGGACUUGAGGCCAGGGGAUGUAUCUGGCAAGCGAAACCUCUGGGAAAAGCAAUCCGUGGACAAGGUCACUUCCCCCACUAAGCAGGUUUGAAACAAUCGGAGAAAGAACCCAACUGCAAGACGUCUUGCUGGGCCAGCUCAGUUGUAGGGGGCUAAUUGCUCUGUUUAUAUUUAUGUUGAUUUACUAAAUUGGGUUCAUUUUCCUUUUUUUUAUUUUCCAAUAUCCCAGUAAACCCAUGUAUAUGCUCACCAUAUUUAAUAAUCACAACUAGAGAUGUUCAUGGUCAAAGUACUGCUUUUGCAGAAGAGCCUGUUUCUAAAGAAACUCAUGCUGUGAAAUAGACUCGCUACUGUCUACUGUCAUCUGUACAGUGACACCAACCACAUUGGAAGUCAACAAAAGGAAUUCGAGGUUAAGAUUAUCUGAGGAAUGUAUGCAGUAUCUAGUGGGGGAAAUGAACCAUAGGUUUUGUUUUGUUUCAAUAAAGACAUCAUGUUUCUGCACUUUAGACUAAAGCAUGGAAGAAAUUAUCAAAGAAGGCAAUCGAAAAUAUCCGAAAGUAACCCAUUUCAGAUCUGAUAUGGAGCAAUAAUGAUUGUCUUUUUUUAAAAAAAAAAGAUAUACUGUUGAGAUAUUGCUUUUUUAUGUGCUGAUUCAUAGACCUAAUUGGAUGAUUAUUUUAGCUGACAGUGGUACUGAUUUUUUUUUUCAGGUUGAUUGCUUUGUGGAUUUCUUUGGUAGUGAUAGUAGCCUGAACCACAUUUAGAUAACACAACUAUGUAAUGUAUGUGCAUACAUGUAUACAAACACACUAAUGGUAGACUGCUCUUAAAUGUGCUAGACUAUUAUAUUUAGUAGUAUGUCCUUGUAACUAACCAAUAUCACAGCUUUUGGAGGUUAAAAUCACAAUAUUAUAUUAAUAUUUCAUAUUUGCCAGUAGAAACAUGGAAGUUAGGUAUAGCUAUGUUCUCAAUGCCCGAUGACUUAUAAGAAAAAAGUAUUUGAAAAAAGAGAUUAGAAGUGUCAAAAUCAGUUAAAAUUUCUUAUAAGACAUAGUAUUUAGUUUAUAAUUGAGGGCAGUCUUGAAGUCCAGUGUGAAUUUUAUUAAGUCUACCAUCUGGACCAAGCUCAAAGCCUACUUAUUUGUUAACAGUGAAGUUCCCCAAAAAGUGACCUACAUGAUAUCUAAGGUUUCUUCUUUCUCUACUUAAAGCCAAGCAUUUUGGUGACAGUAUUGCACAAACCAGAAUUCGUGUAGAUGCCUAAACAAAGACCAACUUUACCUCGUGUAGAAGCAGACAGGUAAAGUGAGCAAAGGCAUGGCAGGGCUUCUAUCUUUAUGUACUCAGACUUUUUAAAUUAAAAUUUUAUGUCUUUAUUAGUCAGUUGGUACUGUCCUAAGUUGAUAAUAGCUUUAAAUUUCAAAACUAUAUGUAAAUUUUAAUAGUGUUACUUUCCCCCUCAGGGGUCUUUAGGAACUCCACCAUUAAGACAUCAUGUCUUCAUUCUUCCUAGUAGAUAAUGAAAAGUACUCCAGCAUCUUACAAAAUGUUCUUAUAUAGGCCAUUCUAUGCAUACAGUGUCAUUGUACAAACUCAUACCUCAGCUGACUUAACCCAAAUUAUCUUAGUCUCCAUUCCUUCUGCAUUGGGAGAGCCUCCAAAAUAACCAUUUCUAAUCCACAUAUUUCCCUUCAAGAGAGAAAGGUUGGCUUGAGGGGUAACUGCUGCCUUGAAAACUCUGUUCUUCUCAUGAAUUAGUAAGAGUUAGUUGGGUUCCUUAGCUUUUAGCAAACUUGGGCCAAAGGAAGGAAAGCCACUAAGACUACACAAGUCAUCUACCCAUGACAGAGUAGACAUAAGUCUAUGACAAGAUAAACUAGAAUGCACAGGGUGCACGUGGAAAUGACUUCCAUCAUUGGAGUAAAAUGGAUCAAAGUUCAAUUUAAGGCUGAUGGUGAGGGAACAUGUGUUAGAGCUUUGAACAAAGGUCUUCUGACAGCUAUUAUCUAGGUUUUUUUUGGUUUUUUUGUUGCUUUUAAGAAAGUUCAAAGUUGUGAAAGAAUGUCUUGAUCCUAAAUUUUAUUCCAAUAUUUGGAUGACAUGAGUUUUAGGGUAGAAUUUUGUUCUGUUUGGAUUUCAUCUUUGGGAAAGCAAAUUCCUCAUUUACUUGUUCAAUUACAGCUCUCUGUUAUCUUUAAGAGAGGAAACUGCACGUUGAAUAGCGUGUUCUGUGAAUCUGCCAUUGUUAAAAACAUUAUAAACACUUGGUAUUUUUCACUGAUGACUGAUCGCUGCAAUAAAAAUAUAUUGUGAAAUGCAUCCACAAUAAAUGGAAUUCUUCCAAAUA
Molecule: RNA transcript, 4431 nt
Organism: Peromyscus californicus insignis
Lineage: Eukaryota; Metazoa; Chordata; Mammalia; Rodentia; Cricetidae
Gene: Cald1
Gene name: caldesmon 1
Exons: 15
Source: RefSeq, a predicted model, not a curated record